Long non-coding RNA from Adelges cooleyi (spruce gall adelgid), 181 nucleotides. RefSeq lists it as uncharacterized. The transcript has 4 exons. Lineage: Eukaryota; Metazoa; Arthropoda; Insecta; Hemiptera; Adelgidae. The record is from RefSeq and is a predicted model, not a curated record.
AGAAGCUGGACUAAUUUGGAGGAAAUCCAGGACGCGCUACGAUCCCAAAUACGUGAUCACACACAGGUUACUUUUCCUGAUAUUCCUGACCCAAAUUUUGCAUCAUACCAUUUGGUAGACCUAGCAGAACAAAGAAGAUCUGUUACUCUGGAAGCUUUAAAACGAAUGUGGAACCGGUUAA